This 494-nucleotide ribosomal RNA is filed under the name uncultured bacterium. Its description in RNAcentral is "bacterial SSU rRNA". It matches the Rfam family "Bacterial small subunit ribosomal RNA", at positions 903 to 1397 of the family's 1533-position model. The record is from RNAcentral.
AAAUGAAUUGACGGGGACCCGCACAAGCGGUGGAGUAUGUGGCUUAAUUCGAUGCAACGCGAAGAACCUUACCAGGGCUUGACAUGUAUCGCUAAUCUGGUGAAAGCCAGUGAGACUUCGGUCACUUUACACAGGUGCUGCAUGGCCGUCGUCAGCUCGUGUCGUGAGAUGUUGGGUUAAGUCCCGCAACGAGCGCAACCCCUGUGAUUAGUUGCCAGCACGUAAUGGUGGGGACUCUAAUCAGACUGCCCAGAUCAACUGGGAGGAAGGUGGGGAUGACGUCAGGUCAGUAUGGCCCUUACGCCCUGGGCUGCACACGUACUACAAUGCCCAGUACAAUUAGAACCGAUACCGCGAGGUGGAGGAAAUCUGUAAAACUGGGCCCAGUUCGGAUUGGAGGCUGCAACUCGCCUCCAUGAAGCCGGAAUCGCUAGUAAUGCUGCAUCAGCUACGGCAGCGUGAAUACGUUCCCGGGUCUUGUACACACCGCCCGU